GAUGAACGCUAGCGAUAGGCUUAACACAUGCAAGUCGAGGGGCAGCACAAGGUAGCUUGCUAUCUGGGUGGCGACCGGCGCACGGGUGCGUAACGCGUAUGCAACUUGCCCUAUACAGGAGGAUAACCCGUCGAAAGACGGACUAAUACUGCGUAUGCUCACAACUUGGCAUCAAGUGGUGAGGAAAGAAAUUCGGUAUAGGAUAGGCAUGCGUCCCAUUAGCUUGUUGGUGAGGUAACGGCUCACCAAGGCAACGAUGGGUAGGGGAACUGAGAGGUUUAUCCCCCACACUGGUACUGAGACACGGACCAGACUCCUACGGGAGGCAGCAGUGAGGAAUAUUGGGCAAUGGGCGCGGGCCUGAACCAGCCAAGUCGCGUGAAGGAUGACUGUCCUAUGGAUUGUAAACUUCUUUUAUACGGGAAUAACAGGAGUCACGUGUGACUCCCUGCAUGUACCGUAUGAAUAAGCAUCGGCUAACUCCGUG
This 487-nucleotide ribosomal RNA is filed under the name uncultured bacterium. Its description in RNAcentral is "partial 16S ribosomal RNA". It matches the Rfam family "Bacterial small subunit ribosomal RNA", at positions 28 to 507 of the family's 1533-position model. The record is from RNAcentral.